UGGGGAAUUUUGGACGAAUUGGGCGAAAGGCCUGAAUCCAGCAAUGCCGCGUGUGUGAAGAAGGCCUUCGGGUUGUAAAGCACUUUUGUCCGGAAAGAAAUCCUUGGCUCUAAUACAGUCGGGGGAUGACGGUACCGGAAGAAUAAGCACCGGCUAACUACGUGCCAGCAGCCGCGGUAAUACGUAGGGUGCAAGCGUUAAUCGGAAUUACUGGGCGUAAAGCGUGCGCAGGCGGUUUGCUAAGACCGAUGUGAAAUCCCCGGGCUCAACCUGGGAACUGCAUUGGUGACUGGCAGGCUAGAGUAUGGCAGAGGGGGGUAGAAUUCCAUGUGUAGCAGUGAAAUGCGUAGAGAUGUGGAGGAAUACCGAUGGCGAAGGCAGCCCCUGGCAAGUACUGACGCUCAUGCACGAAAAGCGU
This 418-nucleotide ribosomal RNA is filed under the name uncultured bacterium. RNAcentral describes it as "partial 16S ribosomal RNA". It matches the Rfam family "Bacterial small subunit ribosomal RNA", at positions 355 to 762 of the family's 1533-position model. The record is from RNAcentral.